CUAUAAGGGCAGCAUCAUUCUGAGGCAUGACUACAAGAGAGAGGAGACAGCCAGAGACAUGCUGGAAGAGAAAUCUGGUCCAUCUCCUGAUUCAGCAUUAGAGGUCUGCACUUCAGAAGGCUUUUGACACCUUGACCCGGGGCCCUGGAGCCUCCGCCUCAGAGGUGGCGUGGACAUAUAUUCUGUGCAGGCCUGUGCUGGAGUCCCAGGACAUCGUGUUGAACAAGAAAGACAAGUUUCAUCUAAUCACGGCCAGGGUGGGACCAUAAGGAGAGCAACUGCGCCAUCUGCUGGGCCUGGUUCGCAAGUACCUACUGCACCCAGAUCAAAUGACCUCUGUGAGCUUGUGGAAAGUAAGACCCAAAUGAAGAGUUACUGGGCCUCCCCAGUGGCGCAGCGGUUGAGCGCUGGGCUGUGAAGCUGCCCGCAGCCUCUGCAGCGCCGGUUCGAUCCCUGGCCACUGGCGAGAGUCCCACAUGGUGCGACAGACCUGUCCUGCUGCGUCCGCUGCUCCCCUCAGCAGUGUAUUUCAUCAGUCUGCCUGUUCUCCCUGCUCUGGCUCUGGUGAAUUCCCUCACCCUCCCGCGCUUCUGACUGUACCCAG
This is a long non-coding RNA of Talpa occidentalis (Iberian mole), 604 nucleotides long. RefSeq lists it as uncharacterized. The transcript is spliced from 4 exons. Lineage: Eukaryota; Metazoa; Chordata; Mammalia; Eulipotyphla; Talpidae. The record is from RefSeq and is a predicted model, not a curated record.